Molecule: ribosomal RNA, 864 nt
Filed under: Phellinus livescens
Lineage: Eukaryota; Fungi; Basidiomycota; Agaricomycetes; Hymenochaetales; Hymenochaetaceae
Description: LSU rRNA
Rfam family: Eukaryotic large subunit ribosomal RNA
Source: RNAcentral
ACUGCGAGUGAAGCGGGAUAAGCUCAAAUUUAAAAUCGGGUAGUCUCCUGGCUGCCCGAGUUGUAAUCUGGAGAAGUGUUUUCUGUGUCAGACCGUGUACAAGUCUCCUGGAACGGAGCGUCAUAGAGGGUGAGAAUCCCGUCCAUGACACGGACCGCUGAUACUCUGUGAUACGCUCUCAAAGAGUCGAGUUGUUUGGGAAUGCAGCUCAAAAUGGGUGGUAAAUUCCAUCUAAAGCUAAAUAUGGGCGAGAGACCGAUAGCGAACAAGUACCGUGAGGGAAAGAUGAAAAGCACUUUGGAAAGAGAGUUAAACAGUACGUGAAAUUGUUGAAAGGGAAACGCUUGAAGUCAGUCGUGUUGUGCAGAACUCAGCCCUUUUCGGAGGGUGUACUUUCUGUUCACAAUGGGUCAACAUCAAUUUUGGCCAGUGGAGAAAGGUGGGGGGAAUGUAGCGCUGUCUCGGCUGCGUGUUAUAGCCCUCUAUUGUAUACAUUGGCUGGGAUUGAGGAUACUAAUGCAGCACGCCCUUGUGGCCGGGGGGCUCGUCGCCCUCACGUCACGUGCUUAGGAUGUUGGCAUAAUGGCUUUAAGCGACCCGUCUUGAAACACGGACCAAGGAGUCUAACAUGCUUGCGAGUGUUCGGGUGGAAAACCCUUGCGCAGAAUGAAAGUGAAAGUUGGGAGCCCUCCGCAAGGGGGGUGCACCGACGCCCGGCCCUGACGUUCUCUGACGGUGCUGCGGUAGAGCAAGUAUGCUGGGACCCGAAAGAUGGUGAACUAUGCCUGAAUAGGGCGAAGCCAGAGGAAACUCUGGUGGAGGCUCGUAGCGAUUCUGACGUGCAAAUCGAUCGUCAAAUUUGGG